GACGAACGCUGGCGGCGUGCUUAACACAUGCAAGUCGAACGGAAAGGCCCUGCUUUUGUGGGGUUCUCGAGUGGCGAACGGGUGAGUAACACGUGAGUAACCUGCCCUUGACUUUGGGAUAACUUCAGGAAACUGGGGCUAAUACCGGAUAGGAGCUCCUGCUGCAUGGUGGGGGUUGGAAAGUUUCGGCGGUUGGGGAUGGACUCGCGGCUUAUCAGCUUGUUGGUGGGGUAGUGGCUUACCAAGGCUUUGACGGGUAGCCGGCCUGAGAGGGUGACCGGCCACAUUGGGACUGAGAUACGGCGCAGACUCCUACGGGAGGCAGCAGUGGGGAAUAUUGCACAAUGGGCGGAAGCCGGAUGCAGCAGCGCCGCGUGCGGGAUGACGGCCUUCGGGUUGUAAACCGCUUUCGCCUGUGACGAAGCGUGAGUGACGGUAAUGGGUAAAGAAGCACCGGCUAACUACGUG
RNAcentral lists this ribosomal RNA (468 nucleotides) under uncultured bacterium. Its description in RNAcentral is "partial 16S ribosomal RNA". It matches the Rfam family "Bacterial small subunit ribosomal RNA", at positions 28 to 507 of the family's 1533-position model. The record is from RNAcentral.